This 381-nucleotide ribosomal RNA is filed under the name uncultured eukaryote. RNAcentral's name for it is "partial 18S ribosomal RNA". It matches the Rfam family "Eukaryotic small subunit ribosomal RNA", at positions 592 to 976 of the family's 1831-position model. The record is from RNAcentral.
UGUAAGCGUAUACCAAAGUUGUUGCAGUUAAAACGCUCGUAGUCGGAAUUUGGCAGUUCCGGAUGUGUGCACGUCGUGUGCGCACUUCGCGGGGAUUGCUUUUGUGGUCUUGCGUAGGAUGAGGCACUUUUAUUAGUGAACGUCCUCACGCAACCACUUUUUACUGUGAGAAAAUCAGAGUGCUCAAAGCAGGCAUUUGCCGUGAAUGUAUUAGCAUGGAAUAAUAGAAUAGGACUUGGUUCUAUUUUGUUGGUUUGUUGGGACUGAGUAAUGAUUAAGAGGGACAGUUGGGGCAUUUGUAUUUCGGUGCUAGAGGUGAAAUUCUUAGAUUACCGAAAGACAAUCUGCUGCGAAAGCGUCUGCCAAGGAUGUUUUCAUUGA